GUGGGGAAUUUUGGACAAUGGGCGCAAGCCUGAUCCAGCAAUGCCGCGUGCAGGAAGAAGGCCUUCGGGUUGUAAACUGCUUUUGUACGGAACGAAACGGUCCUGGCUAAUAUCCGGGGCUAAUGACGGUACCGUAAGAAUAAGCACCGGCUAACUACGUGCCAGCAGCCGCGGUAAUACGUAGGGUGCGAGCGUUAAUCGGAAUUACUGGGCGUAAAGCGUGCGCAGGCGGUGCUGUAAGACAGGCGUGAAAUCCCCGGGCUCAACCUGGGAAUUGCGCUGGUGACUGCAGUGCUGGAGUGCGGCAGAGGGGGAUGGAAUUCCGCGUGUAGCAGUGAAAUGCGUAGAUAUGCGGAGGAACACCGAUGGCGAAGGCAAUCCCCUGGGCCUGCACUGACGCUCAUGCACGAAAGCGUGGGGAGCAAACAGGAUUAGAAACCCGGGUAGUCC
RNAcentral lists this ribosomal RNA (450 nucleotides) under uncultured bacterium. RNAcentral's name for it is "partial 16S ribosomal RNA". It matches the Rfam family "Bacterial small subunit ribosomal RNA", at positions 354 to 796 of the family's 1533-position model. The record is from RNAcentral.